UACAGAGGUCCCAAGCGUUGUUCGGAUUCACUGGGCGUAAAGGGUGCGUAGGCGGUCUGGUAAGUCUGAUGUGAAAUCUCACAGCUUAACUGUGAAACUGCAUUGGAUACUAUCCGGCUCGAGGAAUGGAGGGGAGACUGGAAUACUUGGUGUAGCAGUGAAAUGCGUAGAUAUCAAGUGGAACACCAGUGGCGAAGGCGAGUCUCUGGACAUUUCCUGACGCUGAGGCACGAAAGCCAGGGGAGCAAACAGG
RNAcentral lists this ribosomal RNA (253 nucleotides) under uncultured bacterium. RNAcentral's name for it is "partial 16S ribosomal RNA". It matches the Rfam family "Bacterial small subunit ribosomal RNA", at positions 524 to 776 of the family's 1533-position model. The record is from RNAcentral.